Non-coding RNA from Xylariaceae sp. FL1272, 114 nucleotides. The record is from the annotation of a GenBank genome assembly. NCBI's taxonomy places the organism in Eukaryota, Fungi, Ascomycota, Sordariomycetes, Xylariales, Xylariaceae.
GGUCUGCUAGCUCAGUUGGUUAGAGCGUCGUACUAAUACUCCAGCCAUGGACUAUCGUCCAGCGAUGGAUUAUCGGUGAUGCGAAGGUCAUGAGUUCGACCCUCAUGUGGACCA